GGCUUAGAGUUUGAUCAUGGCUCAGGAUGAACGCUGGCGGCGUGCUUAACACAUGCAAGUCGAACGGAGUGCCUUUGAAAGAGGAUUCGUCCAAUUGAUAAGGUUACUUAGUGGCGGACGGGUGAGUAACGCGUGAGGAACCUGCCUUGGAGUGGGGAAUAACACAGUGAAAAUUGUGCUAAUACCGCAUAAUGCAGCUGGGUCGCAUGGCUCUGACUGCCAAAGAUUUAUCGCUCUGAGAUGGCCUCGCGUCUGAUUAGUUAGUUGGUGGGGUAACGGCCCACCAAGGCGACGAUCAGUAGCCGGACUGAGAGGUUGGCCGGCCACAUUGGGACUGAGACACGGCCCAGACUCCUACGGGAGGCAGCAGUGGGGAAUAUUGGGCAAUGGGCGCAAGCCUGACCCAGCAACGCCGCGUGAAGGAAGAAGGCUUUCGGGUUGUAAACUUCUUUUCUUAGGGACGAAGCAAGUGACGGUACCUAAGGAAUAAGCCACGGCUAACUACGUGCCAGCAGCCGCGGUAAUACGUAGGUGGCAAGCGUUAUCCGGAUUUACUGGGUGUAAAGGGCGUGUAGGCGGGAUUGCAAGUCAGAUGUGAAAACCACGGGCUCAACCUGUGGCCUGCAUUUGAAACUGUAGUUCUUGAGUACUGGAGAGGCAGAUGGAAUUAAGCC
RNAcentral lists this ribosomal RNA (674 nucleotides) under uncultured organism. Its description in RNAcentral is "bacterial SSU rRNA". It matches the Rfam family "Bacterial small subunit ribosomal RNA", at positions 1 to 673 of the family's 1533-position model. The record is from RNAcentral.